AUUGAACGCUGGCGGCAUGCUUUACACAUGCAAGUCGAACGGCAGCGCGGGCUUCGGCCUGGCGGCGAGUGGCGAACGGGUGAGUAAUACAUCGGAACGUGCCCAGUAGUGGGGGAUAGCUCGGCGAAAGCCGGAUUAAUACCGCAUACGACCUGAGGGUGAAAGCGGGGGAUCUUCGGACCUCGCGCUAUUGGAACGGCCGAUGGCAGAUUAGCUAGUUGGUGGGGUAAAGGCCUACCAAGGCGACGAUCUGUAGCUGGUCUGAGAGGACGACCAGCCACACUGGGACUGAGACACGGCCCAGACUCCUACGGGAGGCAGCAGUGGGGAAUUUUGGACAAUGGGCGAAAGCCUGAUCCAGCAAUGCCGCGUGUGUGAUGAAGGCCUUCGGGUUGUAAAGCACUUUUGGCGGGAACGAAAAGGACUGUGCCAAUACCACGGUUCGAUGACGGUACCCGCAGAAUAAGCACCGGCUAACUACGUG
RNAcentral lists this ribosomal RNA (484 nucleotides) under uncultured bacterium. RNAcentral describes it as "partial 16S ribosomal RNA". It matches the Rfam family "Bacterial small subunit ribosomal RNA", at positions 29 to 507 of the family's 1533-position model. The record is from RNAcentral.